AGCAACGCGCAGAACCUUACCAACCCUUGACAUGGCGAUCGCGGGACCAGAGAUGGUUCUUUCAGUUCGGCUGGAUCGCACACAGGUGCUGCAUGGCUGUCGUCAGCUCGUGUCGUGAGAUGUUCGGUUAAGUCCGGCAACGAGCGCAACCCACACUCUUAGUUGCCAUCAUUCAGUUGGGCACUCUAGGAGAACUGCCGGUGAUAAGCCGGAGGAAGGUGUGGAUGACGUCAAGUCCUCAUGGCCCUUACGGGUUGGGCUACACACGUGCUACAAUGGUGGUGACAAUGGGUUAAUCCCCAAAAGCCAUCUCAGUUCGGAUUGGGGUCUGCAACUCGACCCCAUGAAGUCGGAAUCGCUAGUAAUCGCGUAACAGCAUGACG
Molecule: ribosomal RNA, 383 nt
Filed under: uncultured Rhodobacter sp.
Lineage: Bacteria; Pseudomonadati; Pseudomonadota; Alphaproteobacteria; Rhodobacterales
Description: bacterial SSU rRNA
Rfam family: Bacterial small subunit ribosomal RNA
Source: RNAcentral